RNAcentral lists this ribosomal RNA (500 nucleotides) under uncultured bacterium. Its description in RNAcentral is "partial 16S ribosomal RNA". It matches the Rfam family "Bacterial small subunit ribosomal RNA", at positions 30 to 523 of the family's 1533-position model. The record is from RNAcentral.
AUUGAACGCUGGCGGCAUGCCUUACACAUGCAAGUCGAACGGCAGCACGGGAGCAAUCCUGGUGGCGAGUGGCGAACGGGUGAGUAAAGUAUCGGAACGUGCCCAGUCGUUGGGGAUAACGUAGCGAAAGUUACGCUAAUACCGCAUGCGAUCUAUGGAUGAAAGCGGGGGAUCGCAAGACCUCGCGCGAUUGGAGCGGCCGAUAUCAGAUUAGGUAGUUGGUGGGGUAAAGGCUCACCAAGCCGACGAUCUGUAGCUGGUCUGAGAGGACGACCAGCCACACUGGGACUGGGACCCGGCCCAGACGCCUCCGGGAGGCAGCAGUGGGGAAUUUUGGACAAUGGGCGAAAGCAUGAUCCAGCCAGGCCGCGUGCAGGAUGAAGGCCUUCGGGUUGUAAACUGCUUUUGUACGGAACGAAAAGGUUUGGCCUAAUAAGCUGAGCUCAUGACGGUACCGUAAGAAUAAGCACCGGCUAACUACGUGCCAGCAGCCGCCGUAA